This 368-nucleotide ribosomal RNA is filed under the name uncultured organism. RNAcentral's name for it is "bacterial SSU rRNA". It matches the Rfam family "Bacterial small subunit ribosomal RNA", at positions 526 to 896 of the family's 1533-position model. The record is from RNAcentral.
CGAAGGUGGCAAGCGUUGUUCGGAUUUACUGGGCGUACAGGGAGCGUAGGCGGUUGGAUAAGCCCUCCGUGAAAUCUCCAGGCUUAACUUGGAAAGUGCAGAGGGGACUGUUCAGCUAGAGGAUGGGAGAGGAGCGCGGAAUUCCCGGUGUAGCGGUGAAAUGCGUAGAGAUCGGGAGGAAGGCCGGUGGCGAAGGCGGCGCUCUGGAACAUUUCUGACGCUGAGGCUCGAAAGCGUGGGGAGCAAACAGGAUUAGAUACCCUGGUAGUCCACGCCUUAAACGAUGGAUACUAAGUGUCGGCGGGUUACCGCCGGUGCCGCAGCUAACGCAGUAAGUAUCCCGCCUGGGAAGUACGGCCGCAAGGUUG